Molecule: long non-coding RNA, 153 nt
Organism: Humulus lupulus (European hop)
Lineage: Eukaryota; Viridiplantae; Streptophyta; Magnoliopsida; Rosales; Cannabaceae
Exons: 3
Source: RefSeq, a predicted model, not a curated record
GAGAAGGUUCGGAGAGAUGUGGUGUUGAAAUAUACAGAAGGGAUUUGCUGGGUCAUGCAUUAUUAUUAUGAAGGAGUCUGCUCCUGGCAAUGGUAUUAUCCUUAUCACUAUGCUCCAUUUGCUUCAGAUUUUGUUGGUAUUGAAGAGUUAAAG